RNAcentral lists this transfer RNA (73 nucleotides) under Bombyx mandarina (wild silkworm). RNAcentral's name for it is "tRNA-Val". Lineage: Eukaryota; Metazoa; Arthropoda; Insecta; Lepidoptera; Bombycidae. The record is from RNAcentral.
GUUUCUGUAGUGUAGCGGUUAUCACGUGUGCUUCACACGCACAAGGUCCCCGGUUCGAUCCCGGGCGGAAACA